Molecule: long non-coding RNA, 780 nt
Organism: Toxorhynchites rutilus septentrionalis
Lineage: Eukaryota; Metazoa; Arthropoda; Insecta; Diptera; Culicidae
Exons: 3
Source: RefSeq, a predicted model, not a curated record
GCGAUUUAAUGUUUGCUGGGCACACAUUGUCUGAAUGUCGCACAGUCACUCACUUUCACUAAAUCACUUCCCACUGAAGAUACACUGGAGGAAAACAUUACAACUGUGUGUGUGCAAUCGCCAUUUGUCUAGUGGAAGCGAAAUGAUUCGGAGCUUUUAUGUAUAGAAAACAAUAGCAAGGGUUCACGCAGUCGUAAAAACUGCACUAGCUGAUGAACAGUAUGCGACGGCAGAAGUUCCACGAUCUUAAACACAUCGUCACAACAACAAUGAUUCUACAGCAGUACUUGACGACGAUACCCAGCGAAAACUAUCACAAUCAUUACCACCGACAGCAGCCCAUAACUUCGGACGGAGGGAAAGCGAAAUAUGUGUCCCAUCUGCGAUAUAAUUUCCUUCGCAAAUCACGACUUCACGUCCGGUCGCUCAACAACAACAAAAAACCGUGUCCAAGGAUAAUGGGGAGAGUCAGUUUGUGUGGAGAAUUUGCUCCAAGGCGCUUCAUUGCUGGAUCGGUACAUGCUGCCUUUGCUCGGAUACGGAGCGCCACAUCAAGUAGUAACAUUCCUAAUUCUGGUCGAAGCGCGGAGGAUAUCAUUGGAUGCGCAACCGGAUAAUUCGACCGAGGCGGAGGCUGUAGGGUAUUAGUUAGCUGUUCUUAUAAUAUGAUAUUGGUAGUGUAACUAAGCAAGACAACCUACAAAGAAUACCCAUGACAAGGGAGAAAGAAGAGGAAGAAGAAGAUCUUUUUUGAGUGAGAACGGAAACGGUAAAGAGAGU